GAUGAACGCUGGCGGCGUGCCUAAUACAUGCAAGUCGAACGGAAAGACGAGGCGCUUGCUCGUUUGACGUUAGCGGAGGGCGGGUGAGUAACGCGUGGAUCCCGUACCUGUAAGAGGGGGAUAACUACGGGACACGGGCGAAUAUCGCGGAUAAUAUACUGAUCCGCGUGGUGGGUUAGAAAAAGUCGGCUUUGCGGUAUGUAAUAGAUGGAUCCGCGCCGUAUUGGCUAGUUGGUAAGGUAACAGCUUACGAAGGCUACGAGGCGUAUCCGACCGGAGGGGGUGAUCGGCCACCUUGGAACUGAGCCGCCGUCCAUACGCCUACGGGACGCAGCAGUAUGCAAUCUGCCGCAAUGGGCGGAAGCCUUACGGAGCAACGCCGCGUCUGUUAUGAAGGUCCUCCGAUCGUAAAGCUCGGUUUUUAGUGAAGAACAGAUGUGGAAUUUACCAUGCACGUCGUGACGGUACCUAAUCAGAAAGCCCCGGCUAACUACGUG
This 497-nucleotide ribosomal RNA is filed under the name uncultured bacterium. RNAcentral's name for it is "partial 16S ribosomal RNA". It matches the Rfam family "Bacterial small subunit ribosomal RNA", at positions 28 to 507 of the family's 1533-position model. The record is from RNAcentral.